AGCAGCUGCUAGAAGGGGAUUUAGGGGAAGGAAAGGGAGGGAUAUUGUUUCUGGAGGAAAGGAGAGACCUCAUCUCAGCUCCACUGCCAGAUCUCGGGAGCGGAGCCCUUUUGCACGGAGCCACCCCAGCUUCCCCCUCCAAACCGAUGCCAGUUGGCCUUGGCAGCCCUUCUCAUCGAGUUCCCAACCGCACACAGGACGGAUGCACACGGACGAGCUGUCUGCACACCCUCUGAACUCACAGGCGUACACACUCGCCGAGGGCUAAUCGGAGGGCUGGAGAGGGGGAUUGGCCGGGACUGGGGGAGGAGAUGCUUCCAGCUUGACCUCGGGCUGCCCCGGUCCACCCAGGCCUCAGCCCUCCAAGACUUCGCCCCCUCCUCGGCCCAUCCGUCCCCUUUGCUCGGCUCUUCGAUGUACCGCUCGUCCGUCCGUUCCCGGUGUGUGUCCAAAACUUCCCCUCCAGGGCACCUUUGUUUGUGCGGACGGGACCUCUUGUUUCACCGCCAGUGCCCGGUUCGUGUGCAAAUUUUUAGUGGUUUUUUUUAAUAACUGGCCCCUCCUGCUGGGAUGGUUUUGUCAUACAGAUCCCAAAGAGAGAGGUGCGUGCAUGUGUAUCUGUGUAAGAAGUGUCCGUGGGUGGCGGCGUUCAAGUAGCGAGUGAGAGUCUAUUGGAGAUUGGGGUGGAUUGGAGUUUGGGCAGGGCCUUUCUCCCCCCUCCUCCGCCCCCUUCCAGGAUAUAAACAGCACGCAACAACUUUGGAAGA
This is a long non-coding RNA of Ornithorhynchus anatinus (platypus), 767 nucleotides long. RefSeq lists it as uncharacterized. The transcript has 2 exons. The record is from RefSeq and is a predicted model, not a curated record. NCBI's taxonomy places the organism in Eukaryota, Metazoa, Chordata, Mammalia, Monotremata, Ornithorhynchidae.